UACGGAGGAUGCGAGCGUUAUCCGGAUUUAUUGGGUUUAAAGGGUGCGCAGGCGGCACGGCAAGCCGGCGGUCAAAUCGCGGGGCUCAACCCCGCCCAGCCGUCGGAACUGCCGGGCUAGAGUGGGCGAGAAGUGCGCGGAAUGCGUGGUGUAGCGGUGAAGUGCAUAGAUAUCACGCAGAACUCCGAUUGCGAAGGCAGCGCACCGGCGCCCUACUGACGCUCAGGCACGAAAGCGUGGGUAUCGAACAGG
RNAcentral lists this ribosomal RNA (252 nucleotides) under uncultured bacterium. Its description in RNAcentral is "partial 16S ribosomal RNA". It matches the Rfam family "Bacterial small subunit ribosomal RNA", at positions 524 to 776 of the family's 1533-position model. The record is from RNAcentral.